RNAcentral lists this ribosomal RNA (186 nucleotides) under Austrocarausius mercurius. RNAcentral's name for it is "partial 12S ribosomal RNA". The record is from RNAcentral. Lineage: Eukaryota; Metazoa; Arthropoda; Insecta; Phasmatodea; Lonchodidae.
UAAACUAGGAUUAGAUACCCUAUUAUUUUGUAUAUAAACUUUUUACUUAGGUAAUAAAAGUUAUUUCUUUAAACCUAAAGAAUUUGGCGGUGUAUUAUUCUUUUUAGAGGAACUUGUUAUGUAAUCGAUAGUCCUCGUUUUAUCUUUCUUUAAACUUGUUAUCAGUAUGUAUACCGUUGNUAUAAG